This 235-nucleotide ribosomal RNA is filed under the name uncultured bacterium. RNAcentral describes it as "partial 16S ribosomal RNA". It matches the Rfam family "Bacterial small subunit ribosomal RNA", at positions 96 to 334 of the family's 1533-position model. The record is from RNAcentral.
UGACGGACGGGUGAGUAAUGUCUGGGAAACUGCCCGAUGGAGGGGGAUAACUACUGGAAACGGUAGCUAAUACCGCAUAACGUCGCAAGACCAAAGAGGGGGACCUUCGGGCCUCUUGCCAUCGGAUGUGCCCAGAUGGGAUUAGCUAGUAGGUGGGGUAACGGCUCACCUAGGCGACGAUCCCUAGCUGGUCUGAGAGGAUGACCAGCCACACUGGAACUGAGACACGGUCCAG